UUUUACUGCCUCUCGUUUGCGUUUCAAUUUAUUCGAUAGGAUCGCAAUUCCUUUUAAAAUUUUGCAGAGGUAAUCACAAUUCACCUGAUUGUGAGUAUUGAUUCUCAUUUACAGGACGUUUCAAUUAAUUUUAUGUUUUUACCUGUAAUUUGUAAUUUGGUAUCCGUGAAGCGAAAAUGGAGAUCGCUUAUAUUAUACAUGAUUUGGUGAGAUGACGGUGUUACCUAUUUUUGUGAUAGGUGAACGGCGAUGUCUCGUGUGUAUGUUGGGAACCUGGAUCCACGUGUUUCCGAGCGAGAGCUUGAAGAUGAAUUUCGCGUCUACGGUGUUCUGAGGAAGUAAGUUUUGCUUAAAUUAUUUGUGAUUUUUCAUAUCAAUGUACUCGAUAUUUGUUCUUUGUGUUUGUUCGUAUCAUCAAAGGUAAUGUAAUUAAUCAGUAAAAAAGAGAUAAACAAGAGAACUUGUAUGAAGCAUCGUGUUAUACAUUGCGUGAUACAUCUACGAGUUAAACUUUUUCUCUAACCUCUUAGAUUUGGUAUUCUGUGAAUGAUGGAACACUUUGAGAAGAUAUUGUUUAUUAUUUUUGUAAUUAACAUCAAAGUUUGAGACUUGAAAGUACUUGAAAGCAUCAAGUGUGACAUGAUAUAAUCUUAUGGUAUACUUUCAUUUUUUGUGAAAGGCUGUAAAUUCCUUGUAUAUCAAACAAUAUACAUGCAUAUUUUGGUUCAAUCUUCUACUCUAUGCUGCUUGCAGUUUUCUAAGCACUGGUUUUGUCCUUUUAAUAAAAAACUAACUUUUUUAAAUGCUCACCUAUCAUUGUUAUUGAACUGAAUGCAGUGUGUGGGUUGCUAGAAGGCCACCUGGUUAUGCAUUUGUUGAGUUUGAUGAUCGCAGAGAUGCACUAGAUGCUAUUCGUGCAUUGGAUGGUAUCUUCUUCCUCUAGACAGAAACAUUAAAAUUCAUAGCCAUAAUGUUAGAUAUCAUUGGGUUUAUAAUUACAUGUCUUAUUAAACGGCAUCACAAAUGUAUUUGAAUGUAUUCAGGGAAGAACGGGUGGCGAGUAGAGCUCUCCCACAAUUCAAAGGACGGUGGAGGCGGCGGGCGAGGCGGUGGUGGCCGUGGACGUGGUGGUGGUGGUGGUGAUGACCUGAAAUGUUACGAGUGUGGUGAGCCUGGUCAUUUUGCCCGUGAAUGCCGCCUACGUGUGGGCCCACGUGGGUUAGGUAGCGGGCGGCGUCGCAGCCCUAGUCCCAGACGACGAAGAAGUCCAAGUUAUGGUCGUCGGUAUGUCGCGUUUAUUAUAAAUAUUUAUAAAGUUGGCUACUUUUUCAUUUUUCCAAAGUUUUUUAUUGAUUAUAAAGUUAUUUUUUUGUUUUUGGAAUAUGACUUCUAUUUUUGUGAAAAUGUGUUUGUUUUACAGAAGUUAUAGUCCGAGAUACAGUCCACGUGGGAGAAGGUCUCCACCUCGCCGGAGCAUAUCACCUUACAGAGGACGUGCCAGCAGAUCGCCACCUCCAUAUCGCCGUGCCAGGCGUGAUUCCCCAUAUGCUAACGGGUAUGUUUCUUGUUUGUUUGAUUUAUUUUUGUUUUUGUUUAUAAAUGCUUAUGUAAAUGCUUGUUUUCAGAGUUUAAGAUGGAGUGAAGAAGGAAUGGAUUAUGGAAGGACGAGAAUGGAAAAAUGAUAGGUUGGGGUUAAUAUGUUUUUUUUCGUGAUGAACAAAUUUGGGGUAGGGUUCUAUUUAUUAUAUAUUUAUAUAUGAAUGAUGAAUCAUGAUGAUGAUGAUGAUGACAUUGUGGUGUGUUUGUACCUGGCAUCCGAUGUGGAACUGCACUUUAUACCCGCCAAAAAGGGGUUGCUCAUCGGCUUAGAGGUCCAUUUCUUUUCUUCAAUUGCUUUGUUUACUCUGUCAUGAAGCAUGAUAUUAUUAUUAGUAUUAUGAUAUUUAAGUGUAUUUUGUUUCUAAACAUUUUUUUUUAAUUUUUUCUUUUAUAUAUUUUGAGGUUUGGUUAUCGGCUGAGAACCAACCAACCAACCAACCAUCGUCUUCAUCAUCAUCUUCUAGUUUCUGCAUCAUCUUAAGACUACUACUACUACUCUUGACACACGGUUUAGCUUCGCAUCUUCAUCUUCAUCUCUGCUUCUUCUUUGAAACUGCAAAUUUUGGUCAUCAACUAUUUAAUGACACUCUGACUCUGCGACAAAGCUUCUCACGUCUUUAACACAGUCAGUCCACUUAUCUUGGUUCUUUGUCUGCUGGUUGCUGAGCUUUUGUUGUUUCUACUCGCCAAAAAGGUAAAAACAGUGACUUGUUGACUCCGCCUUGUACCCUUUUCUGCUGGGGCUGUGGGUCCUACUUUUGCUUUUGGGCUCUAGUGAAACCAGUCGCCAACGUUUAACGGAUUAUAUGGUGAAUACCUCUACCUGGUUCAUAUGUUUGGUGUUUGUUUUGACUUUGUUUUCUCCCUGAAGGUCGCAUAUGUAAGUAAAGUAGUCAUGAAUAUGUUGAUAAUUAAUCCUUGAAUUCAAACUUUUUUAAUCACCACAUGACUGAGCAGGGUCCUAGAAAGGGUCCCAGAAAAAAAGAUUAUUUUUUAAUUUUUUUUGGCGCA
RNAcentral lists this long non-coding RNA (2610 nucleotides) under Lactuca sativa (garden lettuce). Its description in RNAcentral is "long non-coding RNA (LSAT_LNC003244)". The record is from RNAcentral. Lineage: Eukaryota; Viridiplantae; Streptophyta; Magnoliopsida; Asterales; Asteraceae.